Molecule: non-coding RNA, 2851 nt
Organism: Punica granatum (pomegranate)
Lineage: Eukaryota; Viridiplantae; Streptophyta; Magnoliopsida; Myrtales; Lythraceae
Source: RefSeq, a predicted model, not a curated record
AGACGACGAUGAGCUGAGAGCUUCGGAAAGGUCGACAAUGGAGGAGUCGUCGUUGUCUCCUGAAUGCCCAGUUUGCCUCCAAGUCUAUGACGGCUCCGACACGGUGCCACGUGUCCUCCCCUGCGGCCACAGCGCCUGCCAAAGCUGCCUCGGACAGCUACCUGAGAGGUUCCCGCAGACAAUCCGAUGCCCCGCCUGUACGCAGCUCGUCAAGUUCCCUUCUUCUCGGGGCCCCUCUUCCCUCCCCAAGAACAUCGACCUCCUCAGGCUCUGCGGCGACCCCUCUGGAAGAGGAAAUGGCGAUGGAGAUGAGAAGCUUCUGAAUUCCGAGAAUGAUCGGCCCCAUCAGCAGUUCUUCCUGCCGGAUUCUUGGUCCAACGAGUUUUAUACCAAAUGGAGGGAGUUGAUUCUCCCACAGGACGCCAUUUCUGUCCAAGAAGGAGGGAACAUUGGUUCUAUUGAUCCUGCCAGCUUGACGACGCGGCAUUGUUUCAGGGACAGUCGUGGGGUGAGUCUUUUUCCACUCUUCCCGAUGUCUGGUGUAAGUGAUCCGGCUUUUAGGUUCAGUUAUCUGUUUCGGGUUAUGAACUCUUUGAGUAGGAUGGGAGAUGAUGUGAUGAAUGAACUGACGAUGAUUCUGGGGGUGGGCAGUAGGCAGUGCAAGGUAUCCGGGACAUAUGGUUUCUGGGGACAUGUGGAAGAGGGGAUUUGUUAUCUAGUUUGUGAGAGACACAGAGGGCAGUUUUCAGAAAUUUUCAGUGAUUAUCCGAACGGGUUUAUUGGUAGAGAUGAUGGUAACGGAAGGAUCAGUGAUAGGUUGUCAAGUUUUGCGAUGAUUGGGCUAGAAAUAUGUGAGGCAGUGAUGAGUUCCCAUGAGAAAGAGUUCAUUCUCGGCUGUUUAGGCCUUUUGUGUGUUAAUAUAGACAAUUUUGGGCAUAUUUCUAUAGACUUGACAGAAGUCUUAGUGAUGGCAAGGCAAGUCCGUGCAACUGUUGCUGAGUUUCUUUCUGGUAGGAAAACAAUCGGGAGUGGAGAUUUUGCUGCGAUGUUCUUUAACUUACUCCAGAGCGGUGUAUAUGUGAGCCCCGACGUACUACUUGCAUUACUGAAGAAAAAACAAGUCACCACUGAGGACUCUCUCGGCAUAAUAGAUUCAGCAUCUUAUGGCUCAGAUGUUUGGGCAGUGGGUUGUAUGCUGAUUAAGCUUCUUGUUGGGAAAGAAUUCACUGUUGAGUCUUGGAGACUGGGCGGAGAAGAAGAUAUGGACUUCUCAGUCAUUUAUGAGAAGUGGCUGGGGGACGUGUCUUCUUUGUUGGAAACUAAACUGUUUGAUGAAUAUCAGACAUUGUGUCAGAUGCUCCUUGGCUGUUUGAACCUGGACAGACGGUGCCGACCAGUUCUAGCUGAUGUCUGGAAAUCCGUGAGGGAACUGCUCACGAAGCAUUGGUUUGAUAAUUUGAAAAGAGUGGAAGUAACUGAUGAGAAGUCCUUUAUGUAUUGCUUAAUUCUUGGGAAGCUGUGUCAGAUGUCCGAUGAAGUAAAAGAGACAUCCACAGAAAAUGAUUUGCAUGAAAUAAAUGCUGGAUUGGAAAAUCAUAAUGGAAAGGAGGAUCCUGAGAAAGAUCUUGGUGAAAGUCUGUCCCAGGAAAAUGUCAAAUGCAAAGAAUUGCGGAGCCAUCUUGAUUGUGUGACAGGAUUAGCUGUUGGAGGAGAUCUCCUCUUUAGCUCUUCAUUUGAUAAAACUCUCCAACUAUGGUCUUUGCAGGACUUCUCUCAUGUACACACAUUCCGCGGUCACGAACAUAAGAUCAUGGCCGUGGUUUAUGUGGACGAUGAACAACCUCUGUGUGUGACUGCUGAUGGUGGAGGCGGAAUAUUCGUCUGGGACAUAGGAUCUUUCCCAUUAGGGAACGAACCGUUGAAGAAGUGGUAUGAGGAAAAGGAUUGGCGAUAUAGUGGUAUUCAUUCACUUGCCUAUUCGAGAAGUGGAUAUCUCUACACUGGAGGAGGAGAUAAAUUGAUUAAAGCAUGGACCUUGCAGGAUUGCACACUUUCAUGCAGCAUGGAAGGUCACAAGUCGGUUGUUUCAUCACUAGUUGUAUCUCAGGGUGCUCUUUACAGCGGAAGUUGGGAUGGAAUGAUAAGGCUGUGGUGUCUCAGUGAUCAUAGUCCGUUGACAGUGCUGGGGGAAGAGAUUCCUGGGAAAGUAUCCUCUGUUUUGUCUCUGAAAGCCGAGAAGGAUAUGCUUGUCGCUGUUCAUGAAAAUGGAACCAUAAAGAUUUGGAAAAAUGAAAUGCUUAUGAAGUCAGUGCAAUCACAUAGAGGUGCAAUUUUUUCGGUUAGCUUGGAUGGCAAAUGGCUUUUCACCGGAGGUUGGGACAAAACCGUAAGCAUUCAGGAACUAUCGGAUGAAGAAAGAUGCUGUAUAGAUCUCAGGUCUGUUGGUUCUAUUUCUUGUGGUUCGGUUAUAACGGCUCUCCUCAGUUCCCAAGGGAAGCUCUUUGUUGCAUCUGCUGAUAGGACUGUAAAGGUAUAUUAUCCCGGGAAGCAAUGAAAGAGACUGCUCGGAGAUUACUACAGAGCGCUUUUCGACUGUAAAUGAAGAAAUUGCAUUGUGUCAAUCGCCAUGGACGAUGUUGCAGUAGCACGGAGAAGUCGAGGAGUUCGGGGAGCUAACUGCAUGAAGUUGGUGCAUGCUGAUGCAUGUAAAGUUUGAACCGCUAAAUGCCAUGAGGGCAAAAUUUUGCCACGGACAUGGCAAUGUCAACUUUUGACCGAAAACUUGAUGGGACACGAUAUCAUAUUCAUGUCAUAAUUAUUUAGCAAAGUACAAGGUCACAAGUUUUGGGAA